CAGUCGCCGCGGUAAUACGUAGGUGGCAAGCGUUGUCCGGAAUUAUUGGGCGUAAAGGGCUCGCAGGCGGUCUCUUAAGUCUGAUGUGAAAGCCCCCGGCUCAACCGGGGAGGGUCAUUGGAAACUGGGAAACUUGAGUGCAGAAGAGGAGAGUGGAAUUCCACGUGUAGCGGUGAAAUGCGUAGAGAUGUGGAGGAACACCGGUGGCGAAGGCGACUCUCUGGUCUGUAACUGACGCUGAGGAGCGAAAGCGUGGGGAGCGAACAGGAUUAGAUACCCCGGUAGUCCCUGUCUCUUAUAC
RNAcentral lists this ribosomal RNA (301 nucleotides) under uncultured bacterium. Its description in RNAcentral is "partial 16S ribosomal RNA". It matches the Rfam family "Bacterial small subunit ribosomal RNA", at positions 509 to 807 of the family's 1533-position model. The record is from RNAcentral.